Molecule: ribosomal RNA, 738 nt
Filed under: Bacillus sp. INBio2576J
Lineage: Bacteria; Bacillati; Bacillota; Bacilli; Caryophanales; Bacillaceae
Description: bacterial SSU rRNA
Rfam family: Bacterial small subunit ribosomal RNA
Source: RNAcentral
CGCUGGCGGCGUGCCUAAUACAUGCAAGUCGAGCGAAUGGAUUGAGAGCUUGCUCUCAAGAAGUUAGCGGCGGACGGGUGAGUAACACGUGGGUAACCUGCCCAUAAGACUGGGAUAACUCCGGGAAACCGGGGCUAAUACCGGAUAACAUUUUGAACCGCAUGGUUCGAAAUUGAAAGGCGGCUUCGGCUGUCACUUAUGGAUGGACCCGCGUCGCAUUAGCUAGUUGGUGAGGUAACGGCUCACCAAGGCAACGAUGCGUAGCCGACCUGAGAGGGUGAUCGGCCACACUGGGACUGAGACACGGCCCAGACUCCUACGGGAGGCAGCAGUAGGGAAUCUUCCGCAAUGGACGAAAGUCUGACGGAGCAACGCCGCGUGAGUGAUGAAGGCUUUCGGGUCGUAAAACUCUGUUGUUAGGGAAGAACAAGUGCUAGUUGAAUAAGCUGGCACCUUGACGGUACCUAACCAGAAAGCCACGGCUAACUACGUGCCAGCAGCCGCGGUAAUACGUAGGUGGCAAGCGUUAUCCGGAAUUAUUGGGCGUAAAGCGCGCGCAGGUGGUUUCUUAAGUCUGAUGUGAAAGCCCACGGCUCAACCGUGGAGGGUCAUUGGAAACUGGGAGACUUGAGUGCAGAAGAGGAAAGUGGAAUUCCAUGUGUAGCGGUGAAAUGCGUAGAGAUAUGGAGGAACACCAGUGGCGAAGGCGACUUUCUGGUCUGUAACUGACACUGAGGC